This 253-nucleotide ribosomal RNA is filed under the name uncultured bacterium. Its description in RNAcentral is "partial 16S ribosomal RNA". It matches the Rfam family "Bacterial small subunit ribosomal RNA", at positions 524 to 776 of the family's 1533-position model. The record is from RNAcentral.
UACGGAGGGGGCUAGCGUUGUUCGGAAUUACUGGGCGUAAAGCGCACGUAGGCGGACUGUUAAGUCAGGGGUGAAAUCCCAGAGCUCAACUCUGGAACUGCCUUUGAUACUGGGUGUCUUGAGUAUGGAAGAGGUGAGUGGAAUUCCGAGUGUAGAGGUGAAAUUCGUAGAUAUUCGGAGGAACACCAGUGGCGAAGGCGGCUCACUGGUCCAUUACUGACGCUGAGGUGCGAAAGCGUGGGGAGCAAACAGG